This 512-nucleotide ribosomal RNA is filed under the name uncultured bacterium. Its description in RNAcentral is "bacterial SSU rRNA". It matches the Rfam family "Bacterial small subunit ribosomal RNA", at positions 32 to 524 of the family's 1533-position model. The record is from RNAcentral.
AAUCAACGCUGGCGGCGUGCCUCAGACAUGCAAGUCGAACGAGAAGUCCCCUUCGGGGGAUGGAUAGUGGCGCACGGGUGAGUAACACGUGGGUAAUUUACCUUUGGGUGGGGAACAACAGCCGGAAACGGCUGCUAAUACCGCAUAAUGCAGCGGCUCCUCAUGGAGACAGUUGUUAAAGCGGGGGAUCGCAAGACCUCGCGCCUGAAGAGAAGCCCGCGGCAGAUAGCUAGUUGGUAAGGUAAUGGCUUACCAAGGCGACGAUCUGUAACCGGCCUGAGAGGGCGGUCGGUCACACUGACACUGACAUACGGGUCAGACUCCUACGGGAGGCAGCAGUCGGGAAUUUUGGGCAAUGGGCGAAAGCCUGACCCAGCAACGCCGCGUGAAGGAUGAAGUUUUUCGGAAUGUAAACUUCACAAGAUUGGGAAGAAUAAGUUUUGGAUAAUACCCAAACGAUGACGGUACCAUUUGUAAGCUCCGGCUAACUCCGUGCCAGCCGCCGCGGUAAC